This is a long non-coding RNA of Leptinotarsa decemlineata (Colorado potato beetle), 511 nucleotides long. The record is from RefSeq and is a predicted model, not a curated record. Lineage: Eukaryota; Metazoa; Arthropoda; Insecta; Coleoptera; Chrysomelidae.
GUUUUAAAUAGAUAAUAAAUGAUAAGAUAAAUAAUUAUUCAAGUUAUCUUAGUAAUGAAAUGUUGCAGCAGACUGCAUGAUAUAUAGACUUUAUAUGUUGAUUGGGUUUUUUUGAAUGUUCAUCAAGCAAAAUUUGUUCCAAAAACCACUAAAAUGGAGAAAGAGUACAUGCAAUCGAAAUGUUUAAACAGUGAUAUCAUAAAUAUCAUUCAAAAUACUUUAGAAAUGUGGCAACUUGCUUCCGAUCAUGAUAUACGUACAAUUAAAGUAGACUUGGAUGAUAUAAUUGAAUCUAUAAAGCAGGAACACUUUGUAAACUCAACUGAUUGCAAAAUCUACAGAGGAAUUCAUUGUGUUGUUCAUAAUUUUAUUUGGGAUGCACUGAUGCCUCUGGUUCGAGCGAUGUUCACUGAAGAAGAUACCUAUCUAUAUCAAAAAAGUAAAAAAUUUUGCAAAUUUGGAAAAACUUUGGAUGAGGAAGAUAAUUAUCUGAGUACCAUUUCUUGCACAU